CCAGACUCCUACGGGAGGCAGCAGUGGGGAAUAUUGCACAAUGGGCGCAAGCCUGAUGCAGCCAUGCCGCGUGUAUGAAGAAGGCCUUCGGGUUGUAAAGUACUUUCAGUCGGGAGGAAGGUGGUAAGGUUAAUAACCUUAUCAAUUGACAUUACCGACAGAAGAAGCACCGGCUAACUCCGUGCCAGCAGCCGCGGUAAUACGGAGGGUGCAAGCGUUAAUCGGAAUUACUGGGCGUAAAGCGCACGCAGGCGGUCUGUCAAGUCGGAUGUGAAAUCCCCGGGCUCAACCUGGGAACUGCAUUCGAAACUGGCAGGCUGGAGUCUUGUAGAGGGGGGUAGAAUUCCAGGUGUAGCGGUGAAAUGCGUAGAGAUCUGGAGGAAGACCGGUGGCGAAGGCGGCCCCCUGGACAAAGACUGACGCUCAGGUGCGAAAGCGUGGGGAGCAAACAGGAUUAGAUACCCGUGUAAA
This 471-nucleotide ribosomal RNA is filed under the name uncultured bacterium. Its description in RNAcentral is "bacterial SSU rRNA". It matches the Rfam family "Bacterial small subunit ribosomal RNA", at positions 331 to 793 of the family's 1533-position model. The record is from RNAcentral.